Molecule: unclassified non-coding RNA, 260 nt
Filed under: Hevea brasiliensis (rubber tree)
Lineage: Eukaryota; Viridiplantae; Streptophyta; Magnoliopsida; Malpighiales; Euphorbiaceae
Source: RNAcentral
AGGACAUUGAUGAGGCAUUUCUCUAUGAAUUAGAUACAGUUGGUGACUUUAGCAUCAACGAGCUGGGAUCAUGCCAGAAUGAGUUCGAGAGACGAAUCGACUCCACUGGAGAGGGUUUGUCUGCAUUCCACAUUGUUGAUUCUGGCACUCCAGAAGUUGCUGAAGAUGCCUUUGCUGAAGUUCAUGAAAGAAAGUUUCCAUUGCACCCUGAUAUUUUAAAUGCAUCCACAUUUGAAGAGAUUGGUAAGCAUGAAGAAAAG